RNAcentral lists this non-coding RNA (30 nucleotides) under Rattus norvegicus (Norway rat). The record is from RNAcentral. Lineage: Eukaryota; Metazoa; Chordata; Mammalia; Rodentia; Muridae.
UACAUAGAUGUCUGGAACUUUUAUUAUGUA